AGUGGGGAUACUGAAAUGACAACAAAGUCGAACGUUCGACUGAUUUUAAUGGUUAAUGGUUCAGUCUUGUUACGAAUUUCAACGAGUACACAUCGUAGUUCUGGUAGUACGCAUUCUUUGGAAGUAUUAGAGAAGAGUCAAUAAUGAAAUGGAGGAGUGGGGAUAUUCUCCCACUAGUGACGACAAUAUAAGCGACAGCUACUGGUUCAGUCUUGCUUCGAAUUUCGACGAGUACGCAACGCAGUUCUCCCAGUACACGUUCUCCACAAGUAAUAGAGAAGAGUUAAUAUUCAAAUUGCGAAGUAGGGAUACUCGGAUGCGAGAGAGAACAACAAAGACGGGCCUUCGUCCGACUCUUACAGUUACUAGUUCAGUUGUGUUUUGGACUUCGACGAAGGAACUUAGAAAAUCUCGCGGAGGCCAUUCCUGCAAAAUGAAAUGGAGGAGUGGGGAUAUUCUCCCACUAGUGACGACAAUAUAUGCGACAGCUACUGGUUCAGUCUUGCUUCGAAUUUCGACGAAUACGCAUUGCAGUUCUCGUAAAUGAAAUGGAGGAGUGGGGAUAUUCUCCCACUAGUGACGACAAUAUAUGCGACAGCUACUGGUUCAGUCUUGCUUCGAAUUUCGACGAGUACGCAUUGCAGUUCUCGUAGUACGUAUUCUUUGGAAGUAUUAGAGAAGAGUCAAUAAUGAAAUGGAGGAGUGGGGAUAUUCUCCCACUAGUGACGACAAUAUAAGCGACAGCUACUAGUUCAGUCUUGCUUCGAAUUUCGACGAGUACGCAUUGCAGUUCUCCCAGUACACGUUCUCCACAAGUAGUAGAGAAGAGUUAAUAUUCAAAUUGCGUAGUGGGGAUACUCGGAUGCGAGAGAGAACAACAAAGACGGGCCUUCGACUGACUCUUACAGUUACUAGUUCAGUUGUGUUUUGGACUUCGACGAGGGAACUUAGAAAAUUUCGCGGAGGCCAUUCCUGCAAAAUGAAAUGGAGGAGUGGGGAUAUUCUCCCACUAGUGACGACAAUAUAUGCGACAGCUACUGGUUCAGUCUUGCUUCGAAUUUCGACGAGUACGCAUUGCAGUUCUCGUAAAUGAAAUGGAGGAGUGGGGAUAUUCUCCCACUAGUGACGACAAUAUAUGCGACAGCUACUGGUUCAGUCUUGCUUCGAAUUUCGACGAGUACGCAUUGCAGUUCUCGUAGUACACGUUCUCCACAAGUAGUAGAGAAGAGUUAAUAUUCAAAUUGCGUAGUGGGGAUACUCGGAUGCGAGAGAGAACAACAAAGACGGGCCUUCGACUGACUCUUACAGUUACUAGUUCAGUUGUGUUUUGGACUUCGACGAGGGAACUUAGAAAAUUUCGCGGAGGCCAUUCCUGCAAAAUGAAAUGGAGGAAUGGGGAUAUUCUCCCACUAGUGACGACAAUAUAAGCGACAGCUACUAGUUCAGUCCUGCUUCGAAUUUCGACGAGUACGCAACGCAGUUCUCCCAGUACACGUUCUCCACAAGUAGUAGAGAAGAGUUAAUAUUCAAAUUGCGAAGUGGGGAUACUCGGAUACGAGAGAGAACAACAAAGACAGGCCUUCGACCGACUCUUACAGUUACUAGUUCAGUUGUGUUAUGGACUUCGACGAGAGAACUUAGAAAAUUUCGCGGAGGCUAUUCCUGCAAGUAUUAACGAACAGUUAAUAAAAAAUAUUUCAGAAUUUUUCAUUACUUUCUCUUUUGUUUCAGACUUUAAUUUCGCACUCUCGGAAGACUUUGAAAAUCAAUCUCCACGAUGGGACUUAGAAAUUUUCGGGGAUGCCAUUCGUGCAAGUAUGAACGAAGAGUUAAUUGAAACAUACAACAGUUUAUUUGAUAUUAGACUAAAUGCGAAGUGGGGAUACUCUCCUUCGAGAGACGACAACAAAGUCGUGCCUUUGACCGACUUCUACAGUAACUAGUUCAGUUGUGCUUUGGACUUCGACGAGGGAACAUAGAAAUUUUCGCAGGAUGCCACUUGAGCGAGUAUUUACGAAGAGUUUACGCAAGUACAAUAUUAUAUUACUCAUAUUUUCGAAAUUCUAUGCUUUCUCUUUUGUUUCGGACUACAAUUUCGCACUCUCGGAGGACUUUGAAAAUUGAUCUCCACGAUUAGACUUAGAAAUUUUCGCAGGAUGCCACUCGAGCGAGUAUUUACGAAGAGUUUACCUAAGUACAAUAUUAUAUUACUCAUAUUUUCGAAACUCUGUACUGUCUUGUUUUGUUACAGACCGAUUUCGCUCUUUCCGGGGACUUUGAAAAUCUAUCUUCACGAGUGGACUUAGAAAUUUUUACACUUCCGGAGAACUUUGAAAAUCUAUCUCCCGAGUGGACUUAGAAAUUUUUACACUCCCGGAAGACUUUGAUCUAUCUCCACGAGUGGACUUAGAAAUUUUUACACUGCCGGUGGAUUUUAAGAUCUGUUUCCACUAGUGGACUUAGAUAUAUUCGCGGAUACCACUCGAGCGGGCAAUAAGGAUGAGUAUACGCAAGUACAAUGUUAUAUUACUCAUAUUUUCGAAACUUUGUACUUUCUUGUUUUGUUACAGACCGAUUUCGCUCUUUUCGGGGACUUUGAAAAUCUAUCUUCACGAGUGGACUUAGAAAUUUGUGCACUCCCGGAGGACUUUGAAAAUCUAUCUCCCGAGUGGACUUAGAAAUUUUCGCGGAUGCCACUCGAGCGGGUAUUAACAAAGACUUAAAAACCUCGUUGCAAUCGGGCGCGUAGCAAUGAAGUAAUCAAAUAUUUAUACCGUUAAAAUAAAAUUAUCGCAAAGUAGAAGCAGUGUUUGUUCGUUCGCGGUUCGCGAUUUAAACCAUAAGUGUUUUUGCAUAGACUGCGUGCAAUGCAGUCUUUAGAGUCAGUGUUUGUUCGUAAAGUAUUUUAUAUUUUUAACAGUCGCACAGACUGUACUUAUAAAAAAUAGUAGAGUUUCGCGAAAUAAAUUCAGUGUCCGUUCGUUAAUAAAUAACUAUCGCGAAUUAGAGUCAGUGCAUCACUGAAGAGGAUCUCGACCAACUUCGUUGUCAACCUACCUCAUUUUCAACCAACUACAAAUCAUCCACCCUCAAUUUCGACCUAAAUCGCGGUCCAGUGUUUUGGAGCCAUCGCAGAACUUCUUAAGUAGUUAGAUCAUCGAGGGAGCGAUCAUCGAGCGAGGGAUCAUCCAGGGAUCGAUCAUCAUGGAAUUAAAUUUUUACAGAGAAAUUUUUGAAUUAAAUGUCUUUUUUCAUAUAAUUUUUACUCUUAUAUUUCAGUUUUCUAAUCUUUUUAAUUUUAGCUUUUAUAUUUAAUUUUUGCAUUUACAUU
RNA transcript from Vespula vulgaris, 3331 nucleotides. RefSeq lists it as uncharacterized. Lineage: Eukaryota; Metazoa; Arthropoda; Insecta; Hymenoptera; Vespidae. The record is from RefSeq and is a predicted model, not a curated record. The transcript has 14 exons.